This 113-nucleotide ribosomal RNA is filed under the name Beta vulgaris subsp. vulgaris (sugar beet). The record is from RNAcentral. Lineage: Eukaryota; Viridiplantae; Streptophyta; Magnoliopsida; Caryophyllales; Amaranthaceae.
GAGUUAAUGCGUGUGAUUGCACCGGAUUCCACCUAAACUCCGCAGUUCAGCGUGCUUGGGUGAGAGUAGUACUAGGAUGGGUGACUUCCUAGUAAGUACUCGAGUUAAACCCU